CUUCAGUGAUGAUACAACCACGAGUCAGAAAAGGAUGUUAUCCUGUUAUGUGCAUCCUUCUCAGUGUCAUGUUCUAUGAGGCUGUGCUCGGGUACCAUAGCAGGAUCGUCCUGUUCACUGGAUGAUUUAGAGGCAUUUGUCUGAGAAGG
This is a small nucleolar RNA of Pelodiscus sinensis (Chinese soft-shelled turtle), 149 nucleotides long. The record is from Ensembl. Lineage: Eukaryota; Metazoa; Chordata; Testudines; Trionychidae.